Molecule: ribosomal RNA, 253 nt
Filed under: uncultured bacterium
Lineage: Bacteria
Description: partial 16S ribosomal RNA
Rfam family: Bacterial small subunit ribosomal RNA
Source: RNAcentral
UACAGAGGAGACUAGCGUUGUUCGGAAUCACUGGGCUUAAAGCGCACGUAGGCGGCCCGUUAAGUGUCUCGUGAAAUCCCGUUGCUCAACAACGGAACUGCGGGGCAUACUGGCGGGCUUGAGGUUGGUAGAGGUGCCUGGAACUCUAGGUGGAGCGGUGAAAUGCGUAGAUAUCUAGAGGAACGCCAGUGGCGAAAGCGGGGCACUGGGCCAAUUCUGACGCUGAGGUGCGAAAGCGUGGGGAGCAAACAGG